RNAcentral lists this ribosomal RNA (518 nucleotides) under uncultured bacterium. RNAcentral describes it as "bacterial SSU rRNA". It matches the Rfam family "Bacterial small subunit ribosomal RNA", at positions 11 to 518 of the family's 1533-position model. The record is from RNAcentral.
GUUGAUCAUGGCUCAGGAUGAACGCUAGCUACAGGCUUAACACAUGCAAGUCGAGGGGCAGCAUGACGGUAGCUUGCUACUGUUGAUGGCGACCGGCGCACGGGUGAGUAACGCGUAUCCAACCUUCCCACAAAUAAGGAAUAGCCCGGUGAAAAUCGAAUUAAUACCUUAUGUGGUCAUAAGAGGACAUCUGAUUAUGAUUAAAGAUUUAUCGUUUGUGGAUGGGGAUGCGUCUGAUUAGGUAGACGGCGGGGUAACGGCCCACCGUGCCGACGAUCAGUAGGGGUUCUGAGAGGAAGGUCCCCCACAUUGGAACUGAGACACGGUCCAAACUCCUACGGGAGGCAGCAGUGAGGAAUAUUGGUCAAUGGGCGAGAGCCUGAACCAGCCAAGUAGCGUGCCAGGAUGACGGCCCUAUGGGUUGUAAACUGCUUUUAUGCGGGAAUAAAACGAGGGACGUGUCCUUCUUUGCAGGUACCGCAUGAAUAAGGACCGGCUAAUUCCGUGCCAGCAGCGGC